CGUUUCCUCCCAACAUAUAUAUUGGGAUGGAUUCUUCUAUUUGAGUUACAUCCUCAUUAGGACGUGUCUUGAUUCAGUCUGUCUUUUCGGAUUGAUCCCGAAUUGGCUAUUUGUCAACUGUCUUGUGCUUCCCAGUGGGUUGUUCCCCAGCGGAGUUUUUCGGGCCUCUACCCUUAUACCGGUAGUUGUAAGUCCUAUUU
Molecule: long non-coding RNA, 200 nt
Filed under: Lathyrus oleraceus (garden pea)
Lineage: Eukaryota; Viridiplantae; Streptophyta; Magnoliopsida; Fabales; Fabaceae
Description: Pisum sativum (pea) long non-coding RNA (PSAT_LNC023921)
Source: RNAcentral